This 1938-nucleotide ribosomal RNA is filed under the name human gut metagenome. Its description in RNAcentral is "bacterial LSU rRNA". It matches the Rfam family "Bacterial large subunit ribosomal RNA", at positions 1 to 1977 of the family's 2925-position model. The record is from RNAcentral.
UUAAAGUAGUAAGGGCGCAGGGUGGAUGCCUUGGCACUAAGAGCCGAUGAAAGACGUGAUAAGCUGCGAAAAGCUUCGGGGAGGAGCACAUAUCCAAUGAUCCGGAGAUAUCUGAAUGGGGAAACCCGGCAGAGGAAACCUCUGUCAGCGUGCAGUGAAUACAUAGCUGUACGUGGGGAACCCGGGGAACUGAAACAUCUAAGUACCCGGAGGAAGAGAAAGAAAAUUUAUCGAUUUCCAAAGUAGCGGCGAGCGAAAUGGAAAGAGCCCAAACCGUGAUGCGUGCAUCGCGGGGUUCGGACUGCGUUGUGGCAGACGUAAGAUAGGAGAACGGACUGGGAAGUCCGGCCGGAGAGAGUGAAAGCCUCGUAUCCGAAAUCCCAAGUCGCCUAGCAGGAUCCAGAGUAGGACGAGACACGAGAAACCUUGUCUGAACGAGCGGGGACCACCCCGUAAGGCUAAAUACUUCUUAGUGACCGAUAGCGCAUAGUACUGUGAAGGAAAGGUGAAAAGUACCCCGGGAGGGGAGUGAAAGAGAACCUGAAACCCUGUGUCUACAAGCUGUGGGACCUCUUUAUAUGAGGGACUGCGUACUUUUUGUAGAACGGUCCGGCGAGUUGUGCGUACUGGCGAGGUUAAGGACUUAAGGUCUGGAGCCGAAGUGAAAGCAAGCGUUAAUAGCGCGUCAAGUCAGUGAGUGCAGACCCGAAACCGGGUGACCUAUCCAUGUCCAGGUUGAAGCUUCCGUAAGAGGAAGUGGAGGACCGAACCCACAUCCGUUGAAAAGGGUGGGGAUGAGGUGUGGAUAGCGGAGAAAUUCCAAUCGAACCCGGAGAUAGCUGGUUCUCCUCGAAAUAGCUUUAGGGCUAGCCUCAUGAGAGUCUUAUGGAGGUAGAGCACUGAAUUGCCUAGGGGGCGUCAAAGCUUACCAAAGCAUAUCAAACUCCGAAUGCCAUCAAGAUGAUUCAUGGGAGUCAGACCAUACGAGAUAAGUUGGAUGGUCAAAAGGGAAAGAGCCCAGACCUACAGCUAAGGUCCCAAAGUACGUGUUAAGUGGAAAAGGAUGUGGGGAUUCUAAGACAACUAGGACGUUGGCUUAGAAGCAGCCAUUCAUUGAAAGAGUGCGUAAUAGCUCACUAGUCGAGAGUCCCUGCGCCGAAAAUGUCCGGGGCUGAAACACGACACCGAAGCUUAGGAAUGUGUAAACAUUGGUAGAGGAGCAUUGCUGGCGGGAUGAAGCCAUACCGUAAGGAGUGGUGGACUGCCAGGAAGAGAGAAUGCCGGAAUGAGUAGCGAGAUGAAGGUGAGAAUCCUUCAGGCCGAAUAUCUAAGGUUUCCAGAGUAAAGCUGAUCUGCUCUGGGUAAGUCGGGACCUAAGGCGAGGUCGAAAGACGUAGUCGAUGGAUAACAGGUUGAAAUUCCUGUACCGCAUAUAAACAGAACUGUGGGGACACAGACAGGGAAUGGAAUCCGGGAGUGGAUAUCCCGGUGCAAGCGAGGUAGGAGUGCUGUUGGCAAAUCCGCAGCACGAUCUGAAGACGUGACGCGUACCGAACAUAAGUAGGGAAGUCCAGGCCCCUGGCUGUCAAGAAAAGCCGCUAUUGUUUUAUAUGUGCCCGUACCGCAAACCGACACAGGUGGAUGAGGAGAGAAUCCUAAGGCCGACGGGAGAAGUAUUGUUAAGGAACUCGGCAAAAUGACUCCGUAACUUCGGGAGAAGGAGUGCCAUGAGAGUGGCCGCAGAGAAAUGGCCCAAGCAACUGUUUAGCAAAAACACAGGUCUAUGCAAAACCGCAAGGUGAAGUAUAUGGGCUGACGCCUGCCCGGUGCUGGAAGGUUAAGGGGAGAGGUUAGCGCAAGCGAAGCUUUGAACUUAAGCCCCAGUAAACGGCGGCCGUAACUAUAACGGUCCUAAGGUAGCGAAAUUCCUUGUCGGGU